Molecule: ribosomal RNA, 253 nt
Filed under: uncultured bacterium
Lineage: Bacteria
Description: partial 16S ribosomal RNA
Rfam family: Bacterial small subunit ribosomal RNA
Source: RNAcentral
UACGAAGGGGGCUAGCGUUGUUCGGAAUUACUGGGCGUAAAGCGCGCGUAGGCGGAUCGCUAAGUCAGGGGUGAAAUGCCGAGGCUCAACCUCGGAACUGCCUUUGAUACUGACGAUCUGGAGAUCGGGAGAGGUUGGUGGAAUUCCGAGUGUAGAGGUGAAAUUCGUAGAUAUCGGGAGGAAUACCAGUGGCGAAGGCGGCGACCUGGGCCAAUACUGACGCUGAGGUGCGAAAGCGUGGGGAGCGAACAGG